ACUCAAAGGAAUAGACGGGGGCCCGCACAAGCAGUGGAGUAUGUGGUUUAAUUCGACGAUACGCGAAGAACCUUACCAGGGCUUGACAUCCUACUAACGAAGCAGAAAUGCAUUAGGUGCCCUUCGGGGAAAGUAGAGACAGGUGGUGCAUGGUUGUCGUCAGCUCGUGUCGUGAGAUGUUGGGUUAAGUCCCGCAACGAGCGCAACCCUUACGGUCAGUUGCUACGCAAGAGCACUCUGACUGGACUGCCGUUGACAAAACGGAGGAAGGUGGGGACGAUGUCAAAUCAUCAUGCCCCUUACGUCCUGGGCUACACACGUACUACAAUGGUCGCUUACAAUGGGUUACCAAGGCGCGAGCCGGAGUUAAUCCCCAAAAGCGAUCUCAGUUCAAACUGCAGGCUGCAACUCGCCUGCACGAAGGCGGAAUUGCUAGUAAUCGCGGAUCAGCAUGCCGCGGUGAAUACGUUCCCGGGCCUUGCACACACCGCCCGU
Molecule: ribosomal RNA, 495 nt
Filed under: uncultured bacterium
Lineage: Bacteria
Description: bacterial SSU rRNA
Rfam family: Bacterial small subunit ribosomal RNA
Source: RNAcentral